Salvia miltiorrhiza (redroot sage) is the source of this 3407-nucleotide RNA transcript. It is a transcript of the gene named F-box protein CPR1-like, with no coding region annotated. The record is from RefSeq and is a predicted model, not a curated record. The transcript has 3 exons. Lineage: Eukaryota; Viridiplantae; Streptophyta; Magnoliopsida; Lamiales; Lamiaceae.
AUUAUAAGUGCUUGUAACCGAAAAAGAAUAGUACACGAUUGACUUCCUUUGGGUAUAAUAGUGUAUAAGGGUAUACCUGGCAACCCAGCUCUGGUCUAAAAAUCCAGCCCUGGUCCGAUUUUCCAGCUCAGCGACGCAAUCCCAGCAAUGCCCACCCGCUGGUCUGCCCAUCCAGCUCUGCAUCGCGCUGCUCAUCCAACUCUGGAUUUCUUGCCCAAAGCUUCUGGAUCUUCAAGAGGCAACAAUUCCCACAGCUGAUGCGGUAGCCCUAAAGAUGACACACCAAAGCUGAAAAGACUCAACGAAUGCACCUGAUCUGAAGAACUCAAUGCUGUUUGUUCAGAGUGAUGGUUCCUGAAUUGAAGUUCAAACGCUGAUGCUCGUGAGCUGAAGCACCAGAGCGGCAGUUAUUGAACCAAAACUCCAACCACAGCUGAAAUCACGGAGGGACUUGUGUUAAAGUCCCUUGAACUGAUUGAUUUAAAUUCAGAUUUGUUUUUCCUCAUGGCACCGUCCAAAUGCAAAGGAUGUGUCAAGUAUAUACUUUUGCUUCAUUUUCUUAGGAAUAGCACCUCCCGUUCUGUCCCUUGCUCUCACUUGAAACUUGGCGACUUGUACUCUCUUGGUUAUGCCCAAGUUCUUUUGUACCUUUUUCUUUAUUUAUUUUAUUUUCGUAUUUUCAUAAAAAAAAAAAAAUAGUGUAUUAGAGUAUACACGAAUCAAGUAUGGGUCCAGUCCAACAACUUGUUAUCCGUAACAUGAGAAAGUCUUCGGCAACUACCCGAAAGAAAAAGAAGAAAAGAUGAUGACAGCUCUUAUUAAAUGCCGCUGCAUUAGCUAUCAACACCUAGAGCUACAGAUUUACCCCCACCACUCCGCCGUCGCCAACUCCUCCAUUUCCAUCUCCAACAAUUUUAUUACCAACCAAUGUUUUACUGCGUUUUACUUUUCUUAUCCCUUUCGAAUUCUUCAAAAUCAAGCCAACUAUUAACAAAAGAAACAAAGGUUUUCUGAUAGCAUCACCAAAUACAUAAACUUUAUCGAAAGACUCACGUAUCGAAGAACCCAAAAUAGCAAUCACAUGACUCAUGUGAGAUUUACGGCUCACACAAACCCCUCUCCAAAGCUCCAACAAUCGAAGAAAACCAAACCGUGAAACGCUUCUGACUUGGUACACCUCACAGAGAUAGAAAUGCCGAAUCUGCCGUUUGAGCUCGUCGAGGACAUCCUCCGCCGCCUGCCGGUGAAAUCGCUCAAGCGCUUCCGCGCUGUCGCGAAAGCGUGGUGCUCUUUGAUUGACAGCGAGAAUUUCAUCAAGCUGCACCUGCGCCAAUCGCUGAUUUCCAUCUCUAAUCGGAAUCUGAUAAUCGGCGGCCUAGGCGUUUACAGCGUAGAUAUGGAGGCGCUCGACAGGGCUCACGUCAUCAAGCCGCCGUUCUAUUACAAGAGCGUCGAUGGGAUCUCGAAUUCCUGCAACGGAAUAGUUCUCGUGAUGAGCGAUCCACCUGUUCUGUGGAACCCUUUCUCCAGGGAUUACAGGAUUUUGCCCAAUUGUUCGACUGAAUUGCAAGCUCCGUUUGAAUCCUACGGCAAGGUUGCGUAUGGAUUCGGAUACGAUCCGGUGAGCGAUGAUUACAAGGUUGUUAGGGUUGCGGAAUUUAGGCAUAAGAUAACUCAUAUCUGGAUGGCUUCGGAGACGAAGAUUUAUGCCCUCAGAUCAAAUUCGUGGCGGAGAAUUGGGGAUUUCCCUUAUCCGCUGCCGUUCCUGAGGGGGAAUUGGCGCGUGCACGUCAACGGGGCUAUGCAUACCCUUGUGGAAGAUCUGGAUGAAAUGGACGGCGCCGUGGCGGUGAUAAUGGCUUUCGAUUUGAGGAGCGAGAAGCAUUCUCCAAUAAUGAUGCCGCCCGGGAUCCGGCUCCGAGGCGUCGAUGUUAGCUUGGAUGUGCUUGAUGGGUGCCUCUGUGUGGUUUGCACCAGUAGGUACAGGGUUGUGAUUUGGGUGAUGAAGGAGUAUGGAGUGAGAGAAUCUUGGGUGAAGCUGCUGACGAUUAGCCCUCCGUUGAUCGAGCGGAACGAUAUCGUGAAGCCAUUGAUGUAUGCCAGGGACGGCGCUAGGGUUCUGUUGAAUAUUGAUGAUAAGAGGCUUGUUUGGUAUGAUUUAGGAACGAACACAGGUGAGGAGAUUGUUGUUGAAGGUUUGCCAUUUGUGUUCUAUGCUGAAGCUUGCGUUGAGAGUCUCGUUGCGCUUGAUAAUGGCAUGGAUGAGGUGAAGAAGAAGGUGCAGCGGAAGGAGAAGAAAAAGGAAAAGAUCAGAAGCAAAAGGUGAUGUAUUAGCUGUCUGAUUAUAUGGGAAUUUAUGUAUGUACAUAUGUUGGCUGGCUGACUAUAAAGGAAUUUAUAUUGACUUGGGGUUUACUUGUAUUAUCAAGUCAACUUUGAAUAUUAUUUUCUGGAUGUCACUUGCAACCAAUAGAAUUGCAGUGUUUUUUUGGCUAAGUUCUUUAAUGUAACAUCACAUUGUGCAAUUAUUAGUUUUGGUCCUAGAAAUUUGCUCGAUGCAAUUUCACAUACAAAUUUACCUUGGUUGUUGCUAUCAUAUAUGUGGCCAGCAUUCUAAGAUUUGGCUGAUGGGUGAAAAUUUUAACUUGACUUCUUGGUGAAUAUCUGUGGCGUAAAUUGUUAUCUCUUGUCUUGAUUCUUGAGUUUUUCUUUGGCUGAUGGGCGAAAGUUUAACCUCUGAGUUCUUGGGAUGAUGAUUUCUUGUCCGAAGGGUUCAAGUUGGUACUCUAACAUGAAGAACAGAAGCACUAGAAGAAGAGCCUCCAACCAAAGACCCUAAAAAACGGAAUAAAGCAUUUUGUUUGUACGAAAUUCAGAUGUUCCGGUUGCAGGACGCCGAUGAACUCGGGUGAUGAAGAAUAACAGGAAAAAGCUCACUCAAUUUUUCUGUCAAACUCCUGUGUCCAUGGUUCCUCCAAGGCUGCUAUUCUGGUAGAGCCGGUUAUAUAGCAUAUCAACAAGUGAUUAUGAAUUAUUCCAUGGAGAAGGAAGUCGUGGACACAAAUGGUCGCCGUUUGCUGUUGGAAAAUUUGGUAAGCAAUGGAGCCCAUGACAGCCCCAAUUAUCUACUUCCUUGUAGGAAGUUAGGCUUGUGAGGUUGCAACACAAGCCAGAGAGACACCUUUGUUUCCGUUUGCUUUCUGAGUUCUCUUUGUGGGUGCGUAAAGUUUCAGUCCACUAUAGCUAGUGUAUAUUUAAAUUUUGUCUACUGUUACAAAAAAAGAUACCUGUGAGUGUGACUUUGAACGGCUGCGUCCGCGUAUGCGUAUGGUACUGUAUCGACUUUGAUGAAUGAUAUGUAGCUUGUUUACUUCUGUUUAUGGUAUAUAUCAGAGCGUCCUUUGUCA